GACGGGUGAGUAACGCGUGGGUAACCUGCCUUACACAGGCGGAUAACACUUAGAAAUAGGUGCUAAUACCGCAUGAGCGCACAGGACCGCAUGGUCGAGUGUGAAAAACUGAGGUGGUGUAAGAUGGACCCGCGUCUGAUUAGCUAGUUGGUGAGGUAACGGCCCACCAAGGCGACGAUCAGUAGCCGGCCUGAGAGGGUGGACGGCCACAUUGGGACUGAGACACGGCCCAAACUCCUACGGGAGGCAGCAGUGGGGGAUAUUGGACAAUGGGGGGAACCCUGAUCCAGCGACGCCGCGUGAGUGAAGAAGUAUCUCGGUAUGUAAAGCUCUAUCAGCAGGGAAGAAGAAAUGACGGUACCUGAGUAAGAAGCCCCGGCUAACUACGUGCCAGCAGCCGCGGUAAUACGUAGGGGGCAAGCGUUAUCCGGAAUUACUGGGUGUAAAGGGAGCGUAGACGGUGAUGUAAGUCUGGAGUGAAAGGC
This 485-nucleotide ribosomal RNA is filed under the name uncultured bacterium. RNAcentral describes it as "bacterial SSU rRNA". It matches the Rfam family "Bacterial small subunit ribosomal RNA", at positions 100 to 602 of the family's 1533-position model. The record is from RNAcentral.